Molecule: ribosomal RNA, 531 nt
Filed under: uncultured delta proteobacterium
Lineage: Bacteria; Deltaproteobacteria
Description: bacterial SSU rRNA
Rfam family: Bacterial small subunit ribosomal RNA
Source: RNAcentral
AGAGUUUGAUCCUGGCUCAGAUUGAACGCUGGCGGCGUGCUUAACACAUGCAAGUCGAACGUGAAAGUCCUUCGGGGCGAGUAAAGUGGCGCACGGGUGAGUAACGCGUGGAUAAUCUACCCUUAAGAUGGGGAUAACGGCUGGAAACGGUCGCUAAUACCGAAUACGCUCCCGAUUUUAUCAUUGGGGGGAAAGAUGGCCUCUGCUUGCAAGCUAUCGCUUAAGGAUGAGUCCGCGUCCCAUUAGCUAGUUGGCGGGGUAACGGCCCACCAAGGCAACGAUGGGUAGCCGGUCUGAGAGGAUGACCGGCCACACUGGAACUGGAACACGGUCCAGACUCCUACGGGAGGCAGCAGUGGGGAAUAUUGCGCAAUGGGCGAAAGCCUGACGCAGCGACGCCGCGUGAGGGAUGAAGGUUCUCGGAUCGUAAACCUCUGUCAAGGGGGAAGAAACCCCCUCGUGUGAAUAAUGCGAGGGCUUGACGGUACCCCCAAAGGAAGCACCGGCUAACUCCGUGCCAGCAGCCGCGGU